AAUGCGUGUGAAUAUGGAGCGUUGUGAAAAUUCAUUAAAUUAAUAAAUAAAUUGUACGAAAAACGCGAACAAUUUUAUAUAUAUUAAUAAUAACGCGCGUAGUGUGUUUAAUAUUUCAAAUUUUGUAAGAAGAAAGCUUUUAUCUAUGCGGUGGUGUCAUUUUAGAAUUUCUAAUAGUGCUGUCAGCUGCAAGGUGUAGCGACACGGUUGAAGAAAAACUCGCUGUUGGUUGCCUAGCGCAUAUACGUGAAGGAAACUCGUCGUCCGUGGUCAUUUUCAAGGAGAAACAGCAAAUCCAGCAAUGUGAAAUUCCAACAUAUAUUCACAAAUAUGUUUUUAUAGUUUUAUAUCUUAAGAAUCGUUGCCAAUUGAUUUGGUUUAAGGGCAUAGUUAGACAAUGGCAGGCGUAGACGUGAGUUAAACAGUUGGAAAAUUCAAUAAGCAAGUGAAAAAAAUGAAAAUUGGAAGUGCAUCAUUUGCCAUGUUUCGCAAGGGCAAUGUGCGGCAAUGGCAUAUUGCUUGAAGUGUAAUGUGUAGUUGAAACGAAAGUAGUGGAAAGUGUAGAAUUUAAAAAGCCGAAUUGAAAUACAAAAUAAAAGCUUUAAAUAUAUAAUACACAAAAAGUCAAGCAGAAAAUAAAAAAAUACAAAAAAGGCGACAACCAGCGAUUGACGUACGAGAAUUGUUAAAUAGCCGUGCGGUGCGCGUCGGACAACAAAGUGGUGUGCAUAAUAAUGCAAACGGCGGGGUGAAGUGCAAUCCGGUUAGUCGAAAAAGUUUGUGUAAAUAAAAAUAUAAAAAAAUUUCCAAUAGUAAAUGUGUACAAACGUAAACAUUUUUAUAAAAAAAAGAAAACAAAUAACAAAUUUUAAUUGAUCUACCCAUAAAGAGAUCAAAAAGUGUAUAUGCAGAUCUUCCUAAAUGAAAUUUUUUCUCCUUUAUAUUAACUCAUCUACAAAUUUUUCUGACAUAAUUUAAGCACCAUCUAAACAAAUCACAUUGGAAAGCGGCCGCUUUAGCUUUGUUAUUGUGUCUAAAGUGUUUUUACUAGCGUAUAUUCAUAUGCCCACCUUGCGCUUCCAAUUUUUCUACUGCAACAAUUGCCGCUUUACUUAAAAUCAACAGCUGUUACCUCAUAACUCCUCUAUAAUUUGUUUGUUUGUAAAAAAAAUAUCCGUUGUAAUCAAAGUAAAACGGGUGGGGAAAAAUAAUAAUUCUAUUAGUUUAGUAACAGAAUGCCCAAAUGCGACAUGAAGACUCGCUACAUUCCUGCUACAUUUGCCUGGAUUCUAUUGCUGUCCACGACGUUCCUCUUCUUUUUCUAUCCCUGCCAAUACUAUUUGAAAAGCCAUCUAUGGGUACCGGCAUAUCAGGGUGUCAUCACAUUUUUCGUUUUGGCCAAUUUCUCAUUAGCGACAUUCAUGGACCCCGGUGUCAUACCAAAAGCAUCGCCAGAUGAGGACCGGGAGGAGGAGUUUCGUGCACCGCUUUAUAAAAAUGCCGAAAUCAAUGGCAUCACCGUCAAGAUGAAAUGGUGUGUGACUUGUAAAUUCUAUCGUCCGCCACGCUGUUCACAUUGUUCCGUAUGCAAUCAUUGCAUAGAGACAUUCGAUCAUCAUUGCCCUUGGGUGAACAAUUGCAUUGGACGUCGCAAUUAUCGUUUCUUCUUCUUCUUUUUGGUUUCACUAUCCAUACACAUGCUGAGCAUAUUUUCAUUAUGCUUAUUUUAUAUAUUGAAGAUAACGCCAAACAUCAGGGAAACAUCGCCCAUAGUAGCUAUGGUGUUGAUGGCUAUAGUUAUAAUCCUAGCGAUUCCGAUUUUCGGGCUUACCGGUUUUCAUAUGGUGCUCGUAUCACGUGGGCGCACAACAAACGAACAGGUCACCGGCAAAUUCAAAGGUGGAUAUAAUCCAUUCUCACGUGGCUGCUGGCAUAAUUGCUGUUACACCCAGUGUGGACCACAAUAUCCAAGUCUUCUUAAGCCAGAAAAAUAUGCCGCUCGUCGCUCACACAAGGACGGUCAGGGUAUUAGUGUUAUCACCACCGAACGGCGGACGAAUCAACAGGGCAGCAGUAUGCGAGGCAACAACACACCCGGCAAUGUGCCACGUUCACCACGCGAAACGCUGAAAAACUAUUACGAUAGGGACAAUCGACACACUCAGGUAAAGACUUAUACGGACCAGGGCAAUGGUUAUAAUCAACGGUCGGGCAGCACAACGCUUUAUAGUAAGCUGUCGCCUGGACGUGAAUGUUCAGACACCGAUAUGGAGCCGCAGGCAUCGCAGAGUCAAGAUUGUGAGCCCACACCGCCACUGCAACGACACAAUUCGACAAAUUUCUACUUGCCCCAAGUGGAGGCAGGCGUGAGCAACAUGAAUAACGGUGGCAUAGCGACCGGUGCGGGCAUGAUGCCCAACGCUGGUGGAGGUGGCGGCGCAGGUGGUGGUGGUGGCGAUUCACCACGUCACAUGCGCAUGUAUCAUCCGCGACACAGUCCACUAGCGCGUCAGCGCGGUUUGGAGCCACAACGCGGCUAUAAUCCCGCCGAUCCAUUGUCGCCCGAUCAUCCCGCUCAUCCGGGCAAUCAGGGCGUACAGCAACAACAACGCAGUGGGACAACUGCAACGCCCACAAUGCAGCAACGAAUAAAACCGUUGGGUGUGGCAACACCACUGGUUAUGGCAAGUCCCGUCAGAAGUCAAUACUCAAAAAUAGAUCAGAAUUUGAACUGCUAAGCUUAAAGUAAACUGCUACACGCAAAAAAUGUGUUUAGAGUUAGAAGUGAAUUAAAUUUUAUUUAGUUCAAUAUUUUUAUUGAAAAUAAACGACAACCAAAUGUUUUAAAUCGACUUCUGACAUCUGUGUGUAUAUGUAUGAACUUUUUCCAAACCAACUAAUCCUACUAUAUACAACAACUACAACCGCUACUACUACUACUAUCAAUACAACAACAACCGCCACGACCAUCACGAUCACCAACCAACCAAUCAACCAACUACCACCACCUCCAUCCUAACGAGCUGCGACUUGAACUUCAACUUGCAACUUGAAUUGCAACAACCCGACUCUGACCGCGCUUGUGCACUCACACACACGUACACGCAUUCACCACCACAAGCUCCAACCGUUACUCAAGUCCAAGCUCAGCUUCAGCCUCAACUUCAAUUUCUGCUCAGCGAAGCUUAGUUUAAGCUUUACGUUGUUUAGCAAACAAAAAGUCAAAGUCGUUCGUUCGUUCGUACGCUCGCUCGUUCGUUCGUUUGUUUCCGUCGUACAGUUUCCGUCCAAAUCUUCUACCACCACUACCACCUACUACUACUCUGUUGCUAUAUUCAUUGGAGAUCCAAUCCUGGCACGCCCACCCAACCAAGACGACCCGACUUCAUUGGUCUAAAUACACAGCAGCAGCAGCAACAACAACAGC
Molecule: unclassified non-coding RNA, 3427 nt
Filed under: Bactrocera tryoni
Lineage: Eukaryota; Metazoa; Arthropoda; Insecta; Diptera; Tephritidae
Description: palmitoyltransferase ZDHHC5-B, transcript variant X1
Source: RNAcentral